UAGGGAAUCUUCGGCAAUGGACGGAAGUCUGACCGAGCAACGCCGCGUGAGUGAAGAAGGUUUUCGGAUCGUAAAGCUCUGUUGUAAGAGAAGAACGAGUGUGAGAGUGGAAAGUUCACACUGUGACGGUAUCUUACCAGAAAGGGACGGCUAACUACGUGCCAGCAGCCGCGGUAAUACGUAGGUCCCGAGCGUUGUCCGGAUUUAUUGGGCGUAAAGCGAGCGCAGGCGGUUAGAUAAGUCUGAAGUUAAAGGCUGUGGCUUAACCAUAGUAGGCUUUGGAAACUGUUUAACUUGAGUGCAAGAGGGGAGAGUGGAAUUCCAUGUGUAGCGGUGAAAUGCGUAGAUAUAUGGAGGAACACCGGUGGCGGAAGCGGCUCUCUGGCUUGUAACUGACGCUGAGGCUCGAAAGCGUGGGGAGCAAACAGGAUUAGAUACCCUGGUAGUCCACGCUGUAAACGAUGAGUGCUAGGUGUUAGACCCUUUCCGGGGUUUAGUGCCGUAGCUAACGCAUUAAGCACUCCGCCUGGGGAGUACGACCGCAAGGUUG
This 550-nucleotide ribosomal RNA is filed under the name uncultured bacterium. RNAcentral describes it as "bacterial SSU rRNA". It matches the Rfam family "Bacterial small subunit ribosomal RNA", at positions 355 to 896 of the family's 1533-position model. The record is from RNAcentral.